GAUGAACGCUGGCGGCGUGCCUAAUACAUGCAAGUCGAGCGAACAGAUGAGGAGCUUGCUCCUCUGACGUUAGCGGCGGACGGGUGAGUAACACGUGGAUAACCUACCUAUAAGACUGGGAUAACUUCGGGAAACCGGAGCUAAUACCGGAUAAUAUAUUGAACCGCAUGGUUCAAUAGUGAAAGACGGUUUUGCUGUCACUUAUAGAUGGAUCCGCGCCGCAUUAGCUAGUUGGUAAGGUAACGGCUUACCAAGGCAACGAUGCGUAGCCGACCUGAGAGGGGGGCCGCCCACACUGGAACAAGAACAGGACCCAGCCCCCGACGGGGGGCGGAGGGGGGAAAUCUUCCGCAAGGGGCGAAGGCCGGACGGAGAACCGCGGGGGGAUGAAUAAAGGUCUUGGAACCUAAAACUCUUUUAAUGGGGGAAAAAAAAUUUGUAAAGAACUUGUCCACGUUUUGAGGGUACCUAAUAAGAAGCCCACGGCAAACUACGUG
RNAcentral lists this ribosomal RNA (497 nucleotides) under uncultured bacterium. Its description in RNAcentral is "partial 16S ribosomal RNA". It matches the Rfam family "Bacterial small subunit ribosomal RNA", at positions 28 to 507 of the family's 1533-position model. The record is from RNAcentral.